RNAcentral lists this ribosomal RNA (1398 nucleotides) under metagenome. Its description in RNAcentral is "SSU rRNA". It matches the Rfam family "Eukaryotic small subunit ribosomal RNA", at positions 380 to 1801 of the family's 1831-position model. The record is from RNAcentral.
AUUCCGGAGAGGGAGCCUGAGAAAUGGCUACCACAUCCAAGGAUGGCAGCAGGCGCGCAAAUUACCCACUCCCAGCUUGGGGAGGUAGUGACGAAAAAUAACAAUGCGGGACUCUAAGAGGCCCCGUAAUUGGAAUGAGUACACCUUAAAUCGUUUAACGAGUAUCAAUUGGAGGGCAAGUCUGGUGCCAGCAGCCGCGGUAAUUCCAGCUCCAAUAGCGUAUAUUAAAGUUGCUGCAGUUAAAAAGCUCGUAGUUGAAUCUGGGGCUUGAGGUCGCUGUCUAUCGUUUCGGCGAUGACGGUGAUGCUCAGCUCAGCUUGCCGGUGACUGUUGCGGUGUUCUUCACUGAGCGCUGUAGCAGCACGGCACGUUUACUUUGAAAAAAUUAGAGUGCUCAAAGCGUGCUUGUCGCUUGAAUAAUGUUGCAUGGAAUAAUGGAAUAGGACCUCGGUUCUAUUUUGUUGGUUUUCGGAGCUUGAGGUAAUGAUUAAGAGGGACGAACGGGGGCAUUCGUAUUGCGGUGUUAGAGGUGAAAUUCUUGGAUCGCCGCAAGACGGACUACUGCGAAAGCAUUUGCCAAGAACGCUUUCAUUAAUUAAGAACGAAAGUCAGAGGUUCGAAGACGAUCAGACACCGUCCUAGUUCUGACCAUAAACGAUGCCGACCAGCGAUCCGUAGUGGUUGCUUUAUGGACCCUACGGGCAGCCUCCGGGAGACCAAAGUAUUUGGGUUCCGGGGGAAGUAUGGUUGCAAAGCUGAAACUUAAAGGAAUUGACGGAAGGGCACACCAGGAGUGGAGCCUGCGGCUUAGUUUGACCCAACACGGGAAAACUCACCCGGUCCGGACACCGUAAGGAUUGACAGACUGAUAGCUCUUUCUUGAUUCGGUGGAUGGUGGUGCAUGGCCGUUCUUAGUUGGUGGAGUGAUUUGUCUGGUUAAUUCCGAUAACGAACGAGACUCUAGCCUGCUAAGUAGUGUUGCUAUUGUUAUAUGGUUGACACUUCUUAGAGGGACAAGUGGCAUUUAGCCACGCGAAAUUGAGCAAUAACAGGUCUGUGAUGCCCUUAGAUGUCCGGGGCCGCACGCGCGCUACACUGGAGAAGUCAGCGUGUGUUAUCCAAGUCCGAAAGGACUGGGUAAUCCGUUGAACCUUCUUCGUGCUUGGGACUGUGGCUUGGAACUAUUCCACAUGAACGAGGAAUUCCUAGUAAUUGCAAGUCAUAAGCUUGCGUUGAUUACGUCCCUGCCCUUUGUACACACCGCCCGUCGCUACUACCGAUUGAAUGGUUUAGCAAGGUCCUCGGAUCGUGGCCGUAGGGGCACGCAAGUGUUUCUGCGGUUUGCGAGAAGACGACCAAACUUGAUCAUUUAGAGGAAGUAAAAGUCGUAACAAGGUU